This 496-nucleotide ribosomal RNA is filed under the name uncultured bacterium. RNAcentral's name for it is "partial 16S ribosomal RNA". It matches the Rfam family "Bacterial small subunit ribosomal RNA", at positions 28 to 506 of the family's 1533-position model. The record is from RNAcentral.
GAUGAACGCUGGCGGCGUGCCUAAUACAUGCAAGUCGAGCGAACAGACGAGGAGCUUGCUCCUCUGACGUUAGCGGCGGACGGGUGAGUAACACGUGGAUAACCUACCUAUAAGACUGGGAUAACUUCGGGAAACCGGAGCUAAUACCGGAUAAUAUAUUGAACCGCAUGGUUCAAUAGUGAAAGACGGUUUUGCUGUCACUUAUAGAUGGAUCCGCGCCGCAUUAGCUAGUUGGUAAGGUAACGGCUUACCAAGGCAACGAUGCGUAGCCGACCUGAGAGGGGGUUCGGCCACCCUGGAACUGAGCCCCGGGCCAACCCCCUAGGGGGGGCAGAGGUAGGGAAUCUUCCGAAAUGGGCGAAAGCCUGCCGGAGCAACGCCGCGUGGGUGAUGAAGGUUUUCGGAUCGUAAAACUCUGUUUUUGGGGAAGAAAAAAUGUGUAAGUAACUAUGCACGUCUUGACGGUACCUAAUCAGAAAGCCCCGGCUAACUCCGU